UACGUAGUGUGCUAGCGUUGUCCGGAAUCAUUGGGCGUAAAGGGCGUGUAGGCGGUCCGGUAAGUCCGCUGUGAAAGUCGGGGGCUCAACCCUCGAAUGCCGGUGGAUACUGUCGGGCUAGAGUGCGGAAGAGGCGAGUGGAAUUCCUGGUGUAGCGGUGAAAUGCGCAGAUAUCAGGAGGAACGCCUAUUGCGAAGGCAGCUCGCUGGGACGUUACUGACGCUGAGACGCGAAAGCGUGGGGAGCAAACAGG
This 253-nucleotide ribosomal RNA is filed under the name uncultured bacterium. RNAcentral describes it as "partial 16S ribosomal RNA". It matches the Rfam family "Bacterial small subunit ribosomal RNA", at positions 524 to 776 of the family's 1533-position model. The record is from RNAcentral.